This 70-nucleotide transfer RNA is filed under the name Pila conica. RNAcentral's name for it is "tRNA-Val". Lineage: Eukaryota; Metazoa; Mollusca; Gastropoda; Architaenioglossa; Ampullariidae. The record is from RNAcentral.
UGAAAUAUAGUAUAACUCAAAUACAUUUCAUUUACAUUGAAAGAAUGUUUAAAUUGUUAAAUUAUUUCAA